GCCCCGGAGGGGGCCUCACUGCCUCCCUCUGCCGAGGGGGGAGCAGAGGGUCCCUCUGUCUGGUGGAGGAUGGCAUUGCGACAUUGACAUUGAGCAUGGAGAUGAGGAUGGAACUAGGCCUGGACCAAUCCCGGAAAACGCCAGGCCCUCCUUCUACCCCAGUCUGAGAGCACUGAUUUUGGGGCUCUCUCUUACAAGCCCCCAAAACCUGCAACUCCAGCCUCCCCUU
This 229-nucleotide long non-coding RNA is filed under the name Vombatus ursinus (common wombat). Its description in RNAcentral is "lncRNA (ENSVURG00010013702.1)". Lineage: Eukaryota; Metazoa; Chordata; Mammalia; Diprotodontia; Vombatidae. The record is from RNAcentral.